CCGUAGUAAAGUGGCGUACGGGUGAGUAACACGUGGAUAACCUGCCCCUUAAAGUGGGGGGAGUAAACCUGGGGAAAACCCCGGGGCUAAUACCGCAUAACAUCCUGGAGACUUAAGUCAUUGGGAUCAAAGGAGUAAUUCGCUAGAGGAGGGGUCCGCGGCCGAUUAGCUUGUUGGCGGGGUAACGGCCCACCAAGGCAAUGAUCGGUAGCCGGUCUGAGAGGACGCACGGCCACACUGGAACUGACACACGGUCCAG
This 259-nucleotide ribosomal RNA is filed under the name uncultured bacterium. RNAcentral's name for it is "partial 16S ribosomal RNA". It matches the Rfam family "Bacterial small subunit ribosomal RNA", at positions 85 to 334 of the family's 1533-position model. The record is from RNAcentral.